UACGUAGGGUGCAAGCGUUAAUCGGAAUUACUGGGCGUAAAGCGUGCGCAGGCGGUUUUGUAAGUCUGUCGUGAAAGCCCCGGGCUCAACCUGGGAAUUGCGUUCGAGACUGCCAGGCUUGAAUCUGGCAGAGGGGGCUAGAAUUCCACGUGUAGCAGUGAAAUGCGUAGAGAUGUGGAGGAACACCGAUGGCGAAGGCAGCCCCCUGGGUC
This 212-nucleotide ribosomal RNA is filed under the name uncultured bacterium. Its description in RNAcentral is "partial 16S ribosomal RNA". It matches the Rfam family "Bacterial small subunit ribosomal RNA", at positions 524 to 735 of the family's 1533-position model. The record is from RNAcentral.